GACGAACGCUGGCGGCGUGCUUAACACAUGCAAGUCGAACGGAAAGGCCCCUUUGGGGGUCCUCGAGUGGCGAACGGGUGCGUAACACGUGAGUAACCUGCCCUUGACUUCGGUAUAACUUCAGGUAACUGGGGCUAUUACCUGCUAGGAAUCCUUGCUGCAUGGUGGGGGUUGUAAAGCUUCGGCGGUUUUGGAUGGACUCUCGGCUUAUCUGCUUUUUGGUGGGGUAGUGGCUUACCAAGGCUUUGCCGGGUAGCCGGCCUGGGAGGGCGACAGGCCACAUUGGGACUGAGAUAAGGCCCAGAACCCUAAGGGAGGCAGCAGGGGGGAAUAUUGCACAAUGGGCGGAAGCCUGAUGCAGCAACGCCGCGUGCGGGAUGACGGCCUUCGGGUUGUAAACCGCUUUCAGCAGGGGAGAAGCUUGUGGUGACGGUACCUGCAGAAGAAGCACCGGCUAACUACGUG
RNAcentral lists this ribosomal RNA (465 nucleotides) under uncultured bacterium. Its description in RNAcentral is "partial 16S ribosomal RNA". It matches the Rfam family "Bacterial small subunit ribosomal RNA", at positions 28 to 507 of the family's 1533-position model. The record is from RNAcentral.